This 497-nucleotide ribosomal RNA is filed under the name uncultured bacterium. RNAcentral's name for it is "bacterial SSU rRNA". It matches the Rfam family "Bacterial small subunit ribosomal RNA", at positions 899 to 1397 of the family's 1533-position model. The record is from RNAcentral.
ACUCAAAGGAAUUGACGGGGACCCGCACAAGCAGUGGAGUAUGUGGUUUAAUUCGACGCAACGCGAAGAACCUUACCGAGGCUUGACAUUGCAGUGACAGAGGCAGAGAUGUCUUCUCCCUUCGGGGCACUGUAACAGGUGGUGCAUGGUUGUCGUCAGCUCGUGUCGUGAGAUGUUAGGUUAAGUCCUGCAACGAGCGCAACCCUUGUCAUUAGUUGCCAGCAUGUUAAGAUGGGCACUCUAAUGAGACCGCCGGUGAUAAAUCGGAGGAAGGUGGGGACGACGUCAAAUCAUCAUGCCCCUUAUGUCUCGGGCUACACACGUACUACAAUGGCUAUUACAACAGGCAGCUAAGGAGCAAUCCGGAGCAAAUCCCAAAAGAUAGUCCCAGUUCGGAUUGCGGGCUGAAACUCGCCCGCAUGAAGUCGGAAUUGCUAGUAAUUGCAGGUCAGCAUACUGCAGUGAAUACGUUCCCGGGUCUUGUACACACCGCCCGU